This 266-nucleotide ribosomal RNA is filed under the name uncultured bacterium. RNAcentral's name for it is "partial 16S ribosomal RNA". It matches the Rfam family "Bacterial small subunit ribosomal RNA", at positions 793 to 1055 of the family's 1533-position model. The record is from RNAcentral.
GUCCACGCCGUAAACGAUGGAUGCUAGAUGUUGGGGGUAUUGACCACUCCAGCGUCGCAGCUAACGCAUUAAGCAUCCCGCCUGGGGAGUACGGCCGCAAGGCUAAAACUCAAAGGAAUUGACGGGGGCCCCGCACAAGCGGUGGAGCAUGUGGUUUAAUUCGACGCAACGCGAAGAACCUUACCUGGGUUAAAUCCGCCCGAACCUGGCAGAGAUGUCGGGGUGCCCUUCGGGGAGCGGGUGAGAAGGUGAUGCAUGGCUGUCGU